UGGGGAAUAUUGGACAAUGGGCGCAAGCCUGAUCCAGCCAUGCCGCGUGAGUGAUGAAGGCCCUAGGGUUGUAAAGCUCUUUCACCGGUGAAGAUAAUGACGGUAACCGGAGAAGAAGCCCCGGCUAACUUCGUGCCAGCAGCCGCGGUAAUACGAAGGGGGCUAGCGUUGUUCGGAUUUACUGGGCGUAAAGCGCACGUAGGCGGACUAUUAAGUCAGGGGUGAAAUCCCGGGGCUCAACCCCGGAACUGCCUUUGAUACUGGUAGUCUUGAGUUCGAGAGAGGUGAGUGGAAUUCCGAGUGUAGAGGUGAAAUCCGUAGAUAUUCGGAGGAACACCAGUGGCGAAGGCGGCUCACUGGCUCGAUACUGACGCUGAGGUGCGAAAGCGUGGGGAGCAAACAGG
Molecule: ribosomal RNA, 404 nt
Filed under: Actinomycetes bacterium
Lineage: Bacteria; Bacillati; Actinomycetota; Actinomycetes
Description: Actinobacteria bacterium partial 16S ribosomal RNA
Rfam family: Bacterial small subunit ribosomal RNA
Source: RNAcentral